This 345-nucleotide long non-coding RNA is filed under the name Gallus gallus (chicken). Lineage: Eukaryota; Metazoa; Chordata; Aves; Galliformes; Phasianidae. The record is from RNAcentral.
UGAAAGGUAUGUAGUAGCAGUGUAGGAGUUGCGGCUCUUGUUCCUGAGUAUUAUAGUGACUUUAAAGUCACUGCCAAGGACCGCCUUUUGCACUUGCAGAUCCAUCUCAAUAUCCUUUUGUGGUUGGUAUGUGGUGGGUUGUGUAGUUUGUUUUUUAACACCAUACAUUACAGCAGUCUCCAGAGCCAGUCUCUCUUCUGCUGAGCCUUCUUGGAACUUGUAGUUCUCGGUAAUAUCUACCAUAUCAUCAUUUCCGACUCCCUUGGUCACAAUCAGCUUCCCAAUAUGGGUUGUGUCUAUUUUUUCUAUCACUUGGGAUCCAUUUUUUCCCAUUCUUGAGUAAAU